GAACGGGUGAGUAACACGUGAGCAACCUGCCCUUGGCUCUGGGAUAGCCUCCGGAAACGGGGAUUAAUACCGGACAUGACUCCUCACUGCAUGGUGGGGGGUGGAAAGUUUUUCGGCCAGGGAGGGGCUCGCGGCCUAUCAGCUUGUUGGGGGGGUAACGGCCCACCAAGGCGACGACGGGUAGCCGGCCUGAGAGGGCGACCGGCCACACUGGGACUGAGACACGGCCCAGACUCCUACGGGAGGCAGCAGUGGGGAAUAUUGCACAAUGGGGGAAACCCUGAUGCAGCGACGCCGCGUGCGGGAUGAAGGCCUUCGGGUUGUAAACCGCUUUCAGCAGGGACGAAGCGAGAGUGACGGUACCUGCAGAAGAAGCGCCGGCUAACUACGUGCCAGCAGCCGCGGUAAUACGUAGGGCGCAAGCGUUGUCCGGAAUUAUUGGGCGUAAAGAGCUCGUAGGCGGCCUGUUGCGUCUGCUGUGAAAUCCCGGGGCUUAACCCCGGGCCUGCAGUGGAUACGGGCAGGCUGGAGGCAGGCAGGGGAGAACGGAAUUCCCGGUGUAGCGGUGAAAUGCGCAGAUAUCGGGAGGAACACCGGUGGCGAAGGCGGUUCUCUGGGCCUGUACUGACGCUGAG
RNAcentral lists this ribosomal RNA (635 nucleotides) under Actinocorallia sp. Its description in RNAcentral is "bacterial SSU rRNA". It matches the Rfam family "Bacterial small subunit ribosomal RNA", at positions 100 to 750 of the family's 1533-position model. Lineage: Bacteria; Bacillati; Actinomycetota; Actinomycetes; Streptosporangiales; Thermomonosporaceae. The record is from RNAcentral.